GGUUGAUCCUGCCAGUAGUCAUAUGCUUGUUUCAAAGAUUAAGCCAUGCAUGUUUAAGUAUAAGCUUUUAUACGGCGAAACUGCGAAUAGCUCAGUAAAACAGUUAUAAUUUUUUUGAUGGUCUAUUUCCAUACGGAUACCCAUGGUAAUUCUGGAGCUAAUACGUGCAUAAACACCCGACUUCUUGAAGGGUGGUAUUUAUUAGAGCAAGAACCAAUCCGUCUAACGGCGGCUUCGGUGAGUCAUAAUAAAUGAGCGGAUCGCUUCACGGCGAUAGUUCAUUCAAGUUU
This 290-nucleotide ribosomal RNA is filed under the name uncultured eukaryote. RNAcentral's name for it is "partial 18S ribosomal RNA". It matches the Rfam family "Eukaryotic small subunit ribosomal RNA", at positions 6 to 306 of the family's 1831-position model. The record is from RNAcentral.